UAAAUACCCUAUAUGUGAUCUUCACAAACUCAUCAAUACUAAACCAAGAACAGAAACAAAACUUACUAGAUUCCUACAAAUUUUUGAUUUUUCAAAUUUCUUAUCGUGAGAGUAUGGGCAUUGUUGCUUUUACCGAAGAAUUCCCUGUUUCGGCCAUAAGGAUGUCCCGUGGCGAUGGCGAUGACGGCAAUGUGGCCUUCAUACAUCCAGUGAAACGUUGAAGUUUACGCUCAAUUGAGUCAAGAUGUGACUGGUUUAUUUUAGUGAAUCAAUCUUUCUUGACCAAAAUUAAGUGUUGAUUUGGUGACUUAAUAUGAAUAUUUGUGUGUGUUCUUAAGUUCGUUCGUCCUAUGUAUCCUCUCUUACAUGUAUGUGGAGGUUCGGUAUGCAAUGUUGUGCCUUUCCUCAUCAUGCAAUAAAUAAAAGGGAUAUUAUUACUAUUUCUCA
Papaver somniferum (opium poppy) is the source of this 447-nucleotide long non-coding RNA. RefSeq lists it as uncharacterized. NCBI's taxonomy places the organism in Eukaryota, Viridiplantae, Streptophyta, Magnoliopsida, Ranunculales, Papaveraceae. The record is from RefSeq and is a predicted model, not a curated record. The transcript has 2 exons.